This 83-nucleotide microRNA precursor is filed under the name Myotis lucifugus (little brown bat). RNAcentral's name for it is "miRNA (ENSMLUG00000022579.1)". The record is from RNAcentral. Lineage: Eukaryota; Metazoa; Chordata; Mammalia; Chiroptera; Vespertilionidae.
UGUGUGUUUGUGUGUGUGUGUGUGUGUGUGUGUGGCAGAAGGGGGAUGCAUAUAUACAUACACACAAACAUACACACUUGUGU